Non-coding RNA from Westerdykella ornata, 82 nucleotides. The record is from the annotation of a RefSeq genome assembly. NCBI's taxonomy places the organism in Eukaryota, Fungi, Ascomycota, Dothideomycetes, Pleosporales, Sporormiaceae.
GACAAGAUGGCCGAGUGGUCCAAGGCGCUGCAUUUAAGCUGCAGUGGGGAAACCCGCGCGAGUUCGAACCUCGCUCUUGUCA